RNAcentral lists this long non-coding RNA (844 nucleotides) under Lynx pardinus (Iberian lynx). The record is from RNAcentral. Lineage: Eukaryota; Metazoa; Chordata; Mammalia; Carnivora; Felidae.
CCACCUCAUAAUCCUUCUCAAGGGCAGCCAUGUCCUCACAGGCCUUAGGAAACUCUCCUUCCUUCAUACCCUCAUCCACAUACCAGUGAACAAAGGCACACUUGUCAUACAUCAGGUCAUACGUGUGGUUCAGGCAGACCCAGGCCUCAGCAAUGCUGCUCAGCAUGCACACAUCCUGCUGUACUUUGGCCAGGUCUCUACCAGGUACCACAGUGGGAAACUGGUAAUUAAUGCCAACAUUGGGGCCAAUGGGGCAUCAGUCCACAAACUGGGUGGUACACUUGGUCUUGAUGGUGGCAAUGGCAGCAUUAGCAUCUUUGGGGAACCAUGUUGCCAUGGUACAACAGGCAAUAAGCCAUGUGUUUACCAUGGCGAAGGUCACAUUUCACCAUCUGGUUGGCUGGCUCAAAGGAUUCAUUGGUGAUCUCUGCUAUAGAAAGCUGUUUGUGGUGGGCUUUUUCAGCAGAGAUGACAGGAGCAUAUGUGGCCAGAGAGAAGUAGAUGUGGGGAUAGGGCACCAGAUGCGUCUGGAAUUCUGUCAGACCGACAUUCAGGGUUCCAUCAAAUCUGAGGGAAGCAGUGAUGGAGGACACAAUUUAAUCUAUCAACCUAUAUAGGCUACUGUAGGUUGGGUGUUCAAUAUCAAGGCUCCUACAACAGAUGACAUAGAUGGCCUCACUGUCUACCCUGAAGGUACAAUCAGAGUGCUCCAGGUUGUUGUGGAUAGUGAGGAUGGAAUUGUAGGGCUCAGCUGCAACUGUGGAAACCUGUGGGGCCGGAAAGUUGGAGAACUCUAGCUUGGACUUCUUGCCAUAAUCCACAGAGAUGAUUCAUCAGCAGAGGA